AGAGCUUACGACGGAUACCUUGGUGUUCAGAAGCGAUGAAGGGCGUGGCUACCAACGAAAUGUUUCGGGGAACUGGAAGCAAGUUUUGAUCCGAAAAUACCCGAAUAAGGAAACUUCAAGAACUACCUCUUGAAUUCAUAAAGAGGAAAGAGCGAACCUAGUGAAUUGAAACAUCUUAGUAACUAGAGGAAAAGAAAGCAAAAGCGAUUCUCUUAGUAGCGGCGAGCGAAAUGGGAUUAGUCUAAACUCUAUUCAUUAAAUAGUAGAGGGUUGUGGGACAACAGAUAUUUGAUUGUGCGUGUUAGAUGAAGUAACUGGAAUAUUGCGCCAUAGAAGGUGAAAGCCCUGUAAUCGAAAACAUUACCAUUUGAAGUUGUAUCCCAAGUAGGAAGGGACACGUGAAACCCCUUUUGAAUUUGCGAGGACCACCUCGUAAGACUAAAUAUUCCUGAAUAACCGAUAGUGAACCAGUACCGUGAGGGAAAGGUGAAAAGAACCCCGGGAGGGGAGUGAAAUAGAACAUGAAAUCGUAAGUUUACAAGCAGUAGAAGAGCGACUUAACGCUCGACUUCGUGCCUGUUGAAGAAUGAGCUGGCGACUUGUAGGUUGUGGCAAGGUUAAGAUAAGAGAAUAUCGGAGCCAUAGUGAAAGCGAGCCUGAUAAGGGCUUUAAGUCAUAAUUUACAGACCCGAACCCGGAUGAUCUAACCAUGGCCAGUGUGAAGCUUAGGUAACACUAAGUGGAGGUACCAACCGACUGUUGUUGAAAAAACAGCGGAUGAGUUGUGGUUAGGGGUGAAAUUCCAAUCGAAUCCGGAGCUAGCUGGAUCUCCCCGAAAUGCGUUGAGGCGCAGCGGUUAAUGUUUCUUCUUAGGGGUAAAGCUACUGUUUUGGUGCGGGCUGCGAGAGCGGUACCAAAUCAAGGCAAACUCUGAAUACUAAGACGUUUAGUUAACCAGUGAGACAUUGGGGGAUAAGCUUCAAUGUCAAGAGGGAAACAGCCCAGAUUACUAGCUAAGGCCCCUAAAUAAUUACUAAGUGGUAAAGGAGGUGGGAUUGCAGAGACAAUCAGGAGGUUUGCCCAGAAGCAGCAAUCCUUUAAAGAGUGCGUAAUAGCUCACUGUUCGAGUGAUCCUGCGCCGAAAAUGACUGGGACUAAGUAAUUUGCCGAAGCUGUAAGAUGUCAAAACAUCGGUAGGGGAGCGUUCUACAUUAGUUUGAAGCGUUAACGAAAGUGGGCGUGGACGAAGUAGAAGUGAGAAUGUUAGCUUGAGUAGCGAAAACAUUGGUGAGAAUCCAAUGCCCCGAAAACCUAAGGGUUCCUCCGGAAGGCUCGUCCGCGGAGGGUGAGUCAGGUCCUAAGGUAAGGCUGAAAAGCGUAGUCGAUGGAUAACAGGUUAAUAUUCCUGUACUGUUUAUUGUUGGUAAAGGGGGACGGAGAAGGCUAGGUCGACCGAAUGUUGGUUAUCGGCUUAAGUAUUCGAGGUGUUGAGAAGCGGUGAAAACGUUUUGAGCUGAGAUAUGAAUAGGAGGUGCUAAGGCACUGAACCGACUGAUGUCAUACUUCCAAGAAAAGCCCUAACUACCAUAAGCAAUAAAUACCUGUACCCUAAACCGACACAGGUGGGUAAGUAGAGUAUACUAAGGGGCGCGAGAUAACUCUCUCUAAGGAACUCGGCAAAAUAGCCUCGUAACUUCGGGAGAAGAGGUACCCUUAAUGGGUUGCAAGAACCAGACGCUGGCGACUGUUUACCAAAAACACAGGUCUCCGCAAAGUCGUAAGACGAUAUAUGGGGGCUGACACCUGCCCAGUGCCGGAAGGUUAAGGAAGCUUGUUAGUCUUUGACGAAGCUCGCGACCGAAGCCCCGGUGAACGGCGGCCGUAACUAUAACGGUCCUAAGGUAGCGAAAUUCCUUGUCGGGUAAGUUCCGACCCGCACGAAAGGUGUAACGAUCUGCGUACUGUCUCGGAGAGAGACUCGGCGAAAUAGACUUGUCUGUGAAGAUGCGGACUACCUGCACCUGGACAGAAAGACCCUAUGAAGCUUUACUGUAUCUUGGAAUUGGGUUUGGUCUUUACUUGCGCAGGAUAGGUGGGAGGCUUUGAAGAUGAUCUUGCGGGAUCGUUGGAGCCACUGGUGAGAUACCACUCUUGUAAUGAUAAAAUCCUAACUUUGAACCGUUAUCCGGUCAGAGAACAGUUUCAGGUGGGCAGUUUGACUGGGGCGGUCGCCUCCUAAAAGGUAACGGAGGCGUGCAAAGGUUCC
This 2266-nucleotide ribosomal RNA is filed under the name seawater metagenome. RNAcentral's name for it is "bacterial LSU rRNA". It matches the Rfam family "Bacterial large subunit ribosomal RNA", at positions 14 to 2320 of the family's 2925-position model. The record is from RNAcentral.